CCCAUUGGGAGCGAAGAAAUAGAAGGUUGUAAGCUUAAAGUUUCUUAUUGUCUGACACUAAGGUCAAACUCCAUGGGUACGUGGACGGUCAAGGUGUGUGGAUACGUGUGUGUUUUGAAAAUGCUGACUGAGAAUUUAUUUUGCAGUAAUUCGUUUGAAAUUGGUUUUCCUUGGGGAAAGUUCGUUUAUCUAACUAUCACUCUAGUUAUUUGGUCUAUUUUAUUAUGAACUUGACUGCGUGAAUACUAUCUUGACUGCUGUUUUAUAAGCUGAAUUAAUUAUGAGUUUGGUUGUGUGACUACAAACUUGGCUGUUUCAUUGUAAACCCCACUGAAUUAAUAGGAAUUUCGCGGAGUUAUAUUACGAGCACUACUAGUUUAUGUACUAUAAAAUUGGAAAGUAUAGAAAGUCACCACUUUAUAUUCUUAAGUGAAUUUGCUAUGAACGAGUUAUCUCUGCAUUCAUAAUUUGAUUCAAAUGAGCUGAUAAUGAAUUAAAAUGCUGGUCAUUUUAUUGCAUCCUAAGUAAAUAUUACACAAUACUAAAAAUGUUUUUAUCCCUCUCAUCACUUGCUAUUAUUUCAAGCGAUCUCAAACUUCAAUCCUUUACGGAUAUUCAUUACUGAAAAACCCCACCACUCAUCCUUAUGACAAGAUAGGUCGCAUUACGUCACCAAUGUAACUUAGAGCACUUUGGCUGGAAAUUUUGGGUGUUGAUUAUAACUACAUAGUUUUGAGUUUGAUUGUUAAUUUUCAAUGUUGUCAAGGUAUACCUGGUCCAGAGUAUAUAGAUAUAGAUGGUGUUACAGUCAUAGCUAUAGGCCAUGAAAAAUCUGCUUCUGUUAAAGACUUUGGUAAUGCAAUGAUGUAUACAGAUGAGUAUUUUUGCCCAGAACUAAAUUGCACUUUCAGUACUUCAUCCUAUAGAAUGUACAAGAAUCAUAUUUCUGUUCAUUUUGAGGAUCGUCCAUUUUUGUGUACUGUUUGCAGUCGUUCCUUCAAACGUAAAGAUGGCUUAAAACAGCAUAUGGUUCUUCAUUCUGGGGAGAAGCCAUAUAGUUGUCGUCAUUGUCCUAUGAAAUUUGCACACAGGAGUGCUCGUAUUAAGCACCAACUGAUACAUUAUAAUCAGUAAAAUCGAAUUUUGGAAUGUGUUUCUUUAAAAUACUGUUAUUGUACUGGUUCACUUAAAAAAAGCUUUGCUUAAUAUCGAUUGAAAUAUGUUAAACCUGAGUAUUACACAAAAUCUUUAUUGCAAAACUAUACAAAUAACAAAAAAUGGGAAAUAAUAAAAAUUUAUUGUUGCUCAUAAGUGGAAAAUAUAAACAUUGUUAUGAUAUUAAAGCUCAGUGAGACCUAAAAAGAAAAAUGAAAACCCAAAGUACAUUGACAAUUUGGCUUUAGGGAAUUUCAGUAAGAUACGAUUUGAAUGCUUACUUUGUCCCUUUUCAUCUGAGCAUUAUGCUGAAAUAAGGAAGCAUACUGUAAUACAUAAUCAGUUUACUUGCAGUUACUGUGGAAGAUCAUUUAGCCGCAAAGAGAGUUUGCAAACUCAUAUGAAUCGUCACACCGGUGAUCAACCAUUUGAAUGUGGCUUAUGCCCUAUGAGAUUUUCUCAUCGCUACACUCGUUAUAUUCAUCAUCGUAAGAGUCAUAAAGAUGUAUGAUUAUAUGUACCUGAAAAAUGUUAUAUUUCUCUGUACUUUGAAUGGGAACGGAAUUUUUUUCUCGACAUCACACGAAGUAUAUUUACUAUUUAUGUUUUGUUAUUCAAAAUUUCAUUAAAAGAACUUUUACUCAGAUAAUUGUUAUUUCUUUGGUUUGUGUUAUGCUGUUAUUCUGUAUUUAAAAGAUAAUUAAGUUUGUAUUAAAGACGCAGAGUAUUUGUAUUCAAACCCUUUGUUUUAUUAAACACUUACUUGCCUGUCUUUUGUUUGUCAAUAUUUCUUUCAUUCUAGUUUUAGUAAUUAAACCAUGUACCCUGUUGAUGUAUGUCAUCCUUUGCUGUGUUUAAUUAAUGUGUGUUUGAAAUGUAUUCUUUCUAUUACAAUUUUUAAUGUAAAUUUAAAAAAAAAGCUUAAUAUUUCUUAUCAAACAAUUUUCUUAAAAAUUCUGUCUUUAAUUUUUUUAGAUUUAUUAAUUAGAAUAUUAAUUUCUCAAAAUGCUCUUUACUUAACAAUUGUUUCAAAUAUUUGCAGUUUAGUAAUAGUAUGUUUUUGAAAAUGUAAGCUUUUUGUAUAAACUAUUUUUGGUUCUUAAUCACAAAUACAAUAUUAGAUGGCUAACUAUAGGACCCUGUAAAUAAAUUGUUACAUUAAGUUUUUAAACUUGUCCAGUUUCAUGCAAAAUAUUUCUUUUAUCUGUAAUUUACUUACUUUUGUAUUAUUAAAUCUGCAGAUUAAAGCCUUCAUUUACUGAAAUUUUGUUUUUACAAAAUUUCAUAUUUUUUUCCAAAUAUAUAUUUAAUGAAAUGAAUAGGGAAAACAUGUUUGUGAAUCUCAUUGAAAUGUUCCUGAAAUAAUUAGGGAUUUUUAUUUCUAAAUUUGAGUGGAAACCCUGAUUGUGCUUUUACAUUAAAAUAUGCUUUAAAUUUUAAGCAUAACAUAUUUAAAAUUUGUAUUUUUAAACUUCUUUUGGAAAGAAAUUAAUCUAGUCAUACCUAGUCUUUGUUUUAUCGGUUUAUGAAUGGCGACCUUUAUUUUUUAAUGUAUUAAUAAAAAUUAUGUUUUGAAAAAAAAGUUCAUUGGUACACUUUUUCAUUAGAAGCUGCAAUUGUAUAUCGAAGAAAAACCUGUAUGAAUUAAAUUAAUAACCUCCAGAAAAACUCUUGAGAUUUUUUUCUUGACUCUACUCUAAAUUGUUUCUAUAGUAUAUGUUAGACUUUUUUUUUCUAAAUGCAAUUUAUUUUUACAGGAAUCUAUGAAACUUCUCAUCUUUCAAAAGCUAAGUACUUUGGCUGCCAACUUUGUUCAUAUGUGUCACCUUUUAGGUGGUGCCUCAAAAGGCACUUACUGACACAUACUGGAGAACGUCCACAUGCUUGUCAUAUAUGCAAUCAAAGGUUUGCGCUGAAAGAAAAUCUUAAAAAACACUAUGUGGUGCAUUUUAAAAAUUAGUGGUAAAACAUAUUUAAAUGUACAUCAUAACCCAAAUGACUGAGUUAUUAUUAAGACUUAUCAAUUAGCUUAAGUCUUAUGUUAUUAAGUUUUAAAAAUUGCUAUUCAUUUCUUUUGUUUUAAACAAUUAUGUUAUCGAUUAUAAGAAACAGGUAUCAGUGCCUAGACAAUGAUUGCCUACUUUUUUUUUUUUUUUUUUUACAGAUACUGACACUUGUUUAUUACAUAUAGUUCUAUGUUCCUAUUUUUAAUUUUUUCCUCUAUCUUGCUUUCUGAAUGGUUUUGAGGUCUGUUAUCAUUCCUGCACAUUCUUCCUACUUACAAUAUUCUAAGUAAUCUUGUCAAUCAGAACAAUUAUUGAUAUCUGUUUUUUUUAUUUUGCAUUGAAUGUCUUUUUGCUAUUUGUAAAAAUUAACAUAAAACUUGCUUUAGUUACUUCAGGAACAAAAUUGUUGAACAAAAGUUACAUUUUAACACUAUCACAGUGUGAUUAGAACUUGUCAUUAUUAAAAGGAUUUACACCUUUUUGAAAGUUAAACCAUUCGAAUUUUUCGUACACAGCCUCACAAUUUAUAAGAAUAGUUAACAAAUAUGAAAUUAUUAAAAAAAAAAAAAGCUUCACAAAUAUUUCACACACCAGUUUUUUUUUUUUUUAAAUGCAAAACACUUUCUAUGGAGUGUAAAUUUAUACAGAUUUUUAUAUCCCUUUUUACUUUCGUUAGUUCAAUUUAAGUGUGUUACUUUCAGUAAUCCACACAAUUAUAUAUAUUUCUGGAAGGAAUGACGAGCUGUUUUCUUAUAACAAAGUGUUCGACACUUUCCUGAAAUUCACUAAACACUUCCCCAAUUUCAAAAAAUAUAUUGAAUAGUGUAGCAGUAAUACUGUAAAUUAGAUUUUUAAAAGAUAAUUUAUACAAGAUGAAUUUGUUUCAAUGAGUGUUACAAUGCAUAUCAUUUUAAAUUUGAAGAAAUAUUGUAUUUAGGCUUGAUUAAUGUAUAUCCUCCAUAACUGAAUAAUUGGCUUAUUUAACUUAAGUUAAUUGGAAUUAAUGGUAUUUCUUUCAGUGGGGCUGACUGUCUUAUUUUUGCUAAUAUUUCUGACAUAGAUUAGCUUUAUAAUUUUGAAUUGUAUAUUUUACAGGUUACCAAUCAUUCUCUCCAAGAAAAUGUCCUGCUAAGCCUCCUCCACUCUAUUGCCGCUUUUGUUCUUAUUCAACUUGUAUUAAAACUAACUUAAAAAAACAUGAGUAUAUACAUACUGGUGAAAAACCCUAUGGAUGUCAUUAUUGCACUCGCCGAUUUUCUCAAAAGGAAAAUCUAAAGAAACAUAUACUUGUUCAUGUUAAGUUACAUUUAAAUUAAUUUUUGAAAAAUUUAUCUUUUUUGAAACACUUUAAACUUGUUAACGCAUUUUUAUUUCUUAAAAAGUCAAGUAUUUUCGAAAUUGCUGUUUUUCUGCAAUAAAAACUUUUGAUACAAACUUGAAAGGAAUUUAUCUUAUUCGGAGGUAAAAUUUUAAUGUUUUAAUCUGCAAGAAAUGUUUCACCUUUUUCAAAAAUAAAAUAAAGCAAUUUCUUCUUUUAGGCAAUCUAAGUCUUUUUUUUUUUCAAUUUAUUCUUUUAAAAAAAAAUUAAGUUUCUAAAUUGGCAAAGCAAAAUUUCAUUUAAAAUUAACACACAAACCUAGCUCCUUUUUAAACAGGAUUUUAAACUACCUCAUGAGUAAUCUAAAACUUAGACUUCGACAACCUGUUCCAAGAAAUGCAGUAACACCCCUCUUGACUUGUAUUCGAACAUAUCCGAAGGGAAUACUUCCAAAUUUAUUCAAAAUAUUUUACUUAAAUUGUGAUUUUCCAUUGUUACUAACUGUAUGCAACCAUCCUAGUGUGAUAUUUUGGUUUAAAUUGCAUCAAAGCAAAUCCUAUGCAUUUCACAAAAUAAAGUGUGCAAUUUUUAAAUAGAUGUUAAAUUAAAAAAACAAAGAAAUCACGCAACUGAAAUGGAUCCACUUUGUAAUAUAGUCUCUAAAGCUCAUGUUAGAAAUUUAAUAAUUGUUUGUUGUUUAAUAAUAAUCUUUGUUAUGCCUGGCUUUUUGUUUUACUCUGACAAGAGCAAUCGAAGGAGAAAUUAUUGAACUUUUUCAGUUUACGAUAAUAGUAAUCUAUUUUUAUAAAUUUUAUUAAUAUAUGUUAUACAUCAACUGAGUAUGUUAUGUAAUGUAUGCUUAAAGCAUUCCUGAUUAGCUGACUAAUCCAAUUUUGAAAAAUAGCUCUUGCCCUAUAGGUAUUAGAUAAUAAGGGCUUAAGCAUAAUAAAAGAAAAGUAAUUAAAAGCUGGAAAAGAUAGUUUUUUUAAGGGCAAGUAUUGAACAGAGAAGAAGAUUCUUAUAUGUUAGUUUUUUCACAAAGUGUAAGACUUUAAAUUUUUUUAUGUAAAGAUUGCUUUUGCUUUUAUGUAGCAAUAAUUUUUUUGCUGAAUAUGAAGCUUAUGUAUACCGCCUGUAAUGGCUCAUUAGUUUUAGGCUGAAAGCAUCAAUCUGCAAAUCACAGAAAUGACAAAUUCAUGGUUUUGGUGAAUUCCAAACAAUAUGUCAGGGAAACUUGACUUGAAGUUUAACAUCAUUGUUUAGUUAAAUGCUAUCCUUAUUCAGACUUUAACAUCAUUUUGGGAACAUUAACAAUCAAGUUAUAGCUUUCAAAUAUUACUUUACAAUGUAUGUAGUACUAGAAAAAUAUUAGUUAUUAUAUUUUAAAAAUUAAUUGUAAAGGGAUGUGUUAGAACUCUUCAUGAGUUGUAUAUUCAUAAUAAAACAAUUUGGAUUUGGUCAA
Non-coding RNA from Parasteatoda tepidariorum (common house spider), 5941 nucleotides. The record is from RefSeq and is a predicted model, not a curated record. NCBI's taxonomy places the organism in Eukaryota, Metazoa, Arthropoda, Arachnida, Araneae, Theridiidae.